CCUACGGGAGGCAGCAGUGGGGAAUAUUGCGCAAUGGGCGAAAGCCUGACGCAGCGACGCCGCGUGAGGGCUGAAGGUCUUCGGAUCGUUAACCUCUGUCAGCAGGGAAGAACGGUCACUGUGCUAAUCAGCAGUGAAUUGACGGUACCUGCACAGGAAGCACCGGCGAACUCAGUGCCAGCCGCCGCGGUAAUACUGAGAGUGCGAGCGUUAAUCGGAAUUACUGGGCGUAAAGCGCUCGUAGGCGGUAUGUCAAGUCAAGGGUGAAAUCCCCGCGCUCAACGUGGGAACUGCCUUUGAAACUGGCAAACUGGAGUGUGUGAGAGGAUAGUGGAAUUCCAGGUGUAGGAGUGAAAUCCGUAGAUAUCUGGAGGAACAUCAGUGGCGAAGGCGACUAUCUGGCACAUAACUGACGCUGAGGAGCGAAAGCGUGGGUAGCAAACAGGAUUAGAUACCCCUGUAGUC
Molecule: ribosomal RNA, 465 nt
Filed under: uncultured bacterium
Lineage: Bacteria
Description: partial 16S ribosomal RNA
Rfam family: Bacterial small subunit ribosomal RNA
Source: RNAcentral